UUGGAGGGCAAGUCUGGUGCCAGCAGUCGCGGUAAUUCCAGCUCCAAUAGCGUAUAUUAAAGUUGUUGCAGUUAAAAAGCUCGUAGUUGAAUUUCGGGGUUAGUAGGUUGGUCAUGCCUCUGGUAUGUACUGGUCUCACUGAUUCCUCCUUCCUGAUGAACCGUAAUGCCAUUAAUUUGGUGUUUUGGGGAAUUUGGACUGUUACUUUGAAAAAAUUAGAGUGUUUAAAGCAAGCUAACGCUUGAAUACAUUAGCAUGGAAUAAUGAAAUAGGACGUUCGAUCCUAUUUUGUUGGUUUCUAGGAUUGACGUAAUGAUUAAUAAGGAUAGUUGGGGGCAUUAGUAUUCAAUUGUCAGAGGUGAAAUUCUUGGAUUUAUUGAAGACUAACUACUGCGAAAGCAUUUGCCAAGGAUGUUUUCAUUAAUCAAGAACGAAAGUUAGGGGAUCGAAGACGAUCAGAUACCGUCGUAGUCUUAACCAUAAACUAUGCCGACUAGGGAUCGGAUGAUGUUAAUUUUUUAAUGACUCAUUCGGCGCCUUACGGGAAAC
This 549-nucleotide ribosomal RNA is filed under the name uncultured Glomus. RNAcentral describes it as "SSU rRNA". It matches the Rfam family "Eukaryotic small subunit ribosomal RNA", at positions 548 to 1098 of the family's 1831-position model. The record is from RNAcentral. Lineage: Eukaryota; Fungi; Glomeromycota; Glomeromycetes; Glomerales; Glomeraceae.